CAUAGAAAUGUUCAUAUUUUUUUAUUCCAGAUAUUUAUUUGAGCUCAAAGCAGAUCAUAUUUCUGUAGUUACGCAUGCUGUAUUUACAUUAGCAUGCAGAGUUUGCUUUGUAUGGUGACACCUCAGCUACAGUUUACGCUUGUCUUUGAAUUGGUGAUGGGCCUGGGAACAUUUUCAGACCCUAUUUCGAGGGUUCUACGUAGUUUUUUUUAUCACCCUUACAAAAAUCAUGUCUUCAGAUUGCUAGAAUGAAACUUUUAAUGUUGUCAAUUUAACUUGAGCACAUUUAGCUGGUAUUAUCUCAAGUGACAAUUGAAGAAGGAAAAAAAAUUAUUGUAUAUUGUAAAUUUAACACGAUUUAUUGAUUUAUUUACCACAAUAAAAUACAAAUAAAUAAAAUUAAACUAAUUAUGCGUUACAAAGCUAACAACCUUCCUUUGUCCUGAAACCAAGUUUAUAAAAGUUGUGCCAGUAACAGCGAGAAGACGGCAGGUGGCGCUGGUGUAAAAGCCUCACACCAAGAGGCAAAUAAUCCUUCAGGACUGUCCUUGUACGUGUAUUCUGAUGUUUGGAAGCCAGAUGUCAUCUGCGAGGUCAGUGCUGUCGCUCUCCAAGGUGUUCCAGCCCCUGGCCGGACUAAAUGGCAACACGGUCAAUGUGCUGAGAGCAGUUAUAUGCAACAGGAGAGAGAUGUCCUCUUAUACUCCCCCUCCUGCAAAAUACGGAGGCCGACACACAGUAACACUGAUCCCUGGAGACGGUAUUGGACCGGAACUUCUGAGCCACGUCCGGGAGCUUUUCAGGUUCUGCUGCAUCCCUGUGGAUUUUGAGGUGGUGAAUGUGGACUCCACAGCAACGUCAGAGGAUGACAUUAAUAAUGCUGUCACAGCUAUCAGACGCAACGGAGUUGCACUGAAGGGCAAUAUAGAGACCAAUCACAAACUUCCACCAUCUCACAAGUCCAGGAACAAUUUGCUCCGAACAUCCCUGGAUCUAUACGCUAAUGUGAUGCACUGCCAGACGCUCCCAGGUGUGCAGACCCGGCACAAGGACGUAGACAUCAUCAUUAUUAGAGAAAAUACAGAGGGAGAAUACAGCAGCUUAGAGCAUGAGAAUGUCCCAGGAGUCGUGGAGUGUCUGAAGAUCAUCACUCGGAUAAACUCGUUACGGAUUGCUGAAUACGCCUUUAAACUUGCCAGAGAAAAAGGUCGCCAUAGGGUCACUGCCGUACAUAAGGCCAAUAUCAUGAAGCUGGGUGAUGGUUUGUUCCUGCAAUGCUGUAAGGAAGUAGCAGCCGGAUACCCAGACAUUACUUUUGACAACAUGAUUGUGGAUAACACCACCAUGCAGCUCGUCUCCAAGCCUCAACAGUUUGAUGUAAUGGUGAUGCCAAAUCUCUAUGGGAAUGUGGUGAGCAAUGUGUGUGCCGGACUCGUGGGUGGCCCAGGUUUAGUUCCAGGAGCCAACUAUGGCAAGGACUACGCUGUGUUUGAAACGGCCACAAGAAACACUGGGAAAAGCAUUGCUAACAAGAACAUUGCAAACCCUACGGCCACACUUUUAGCCAGCUGCCUCAUGCUGGAUCAUUUAAAACUUCAUGAUUAUGCCAGUAUCAUUCGGAAAGCAAUCCUUACCACCUUAUCUGAGACCCAGUUACACACCGCUGAUCUGGGGGGACAGGGUACAACGUCUGAGGUGGUGCAAGCCAUAAUGCAGGAGGUUCAGAGAAGCAAACUGCAUACCUCAAAAUCCAUCUGAAUGAGCCUGUAACCUGAACCUCAGGCUUCAAGAGAGAGAAAAAAAAACGAGAAUCUAUUGUGAUGUGGACAACAUCAAUCUACAUAUACUGCAAGAUCGGAUGAAGCUCAUGGGUGUAUGUGUGUGGUUGUGCGUGUUGCUUUACAACAUUAAGCCAGAAUAUUUUUUAAUUAAAUUGACUUCGAGCUGUUAUUAUCAAGCUUUAUUAUGCAAAACUGUGACAGUGAUUUAAAAUUAGCUAAGUGUUUUUUUUUUUUUUUUACAGUUAAAUAUCCAAAGUUUACUCAAAAGAACUAUUGCUGCAUAUGACUUAAUUCUGAAAUGGAAAGUGGGCAAACUUGGAAUGACAUAAAUUUCGACCUCUGCACAUUCAAGAUAUAAAGUAGGAAAGAAACAAAGAUGCCUCAGUGUUUUAAACACCUUUUGUUAAAUGUGACGUGUGAUUUAAAAUGACCUUUAUAGUCAGUGUUAUAGAUAUAUACAGUAUGUGAAUUUUGACUGAUAAAAGGCAAGCAAAGUAUAUAUUAUAUAACUCAUUUAAAAGUAAAGUGCUACUUUGCUGGUUGUCGAUGUUGUAAGCAUCCAUGUCACUUUCUGAACUCCGUUAUUUUCAAAUAGGAAUUCUGAUUUAAGAGCGUGUUUUAUUUUGGUCUGUUUUUAUCCUUGUUUAUAUUAUUUUCCUUUGUGGUACGAGCGUACAAGUGUGAAUACGUAUUUCAUAGUACAUAACACGUAAUACACGUACAACAAACAUACAAGACACUCCUGCUACAAGGACUCCUGCACCUUUUAUAAAAAUAUACAUUUACACGAUUAUACAAAUGGCCCAUAUUGUACAUUUACACAUCGCUGUAAAACUUUUAAUUAAGCCUGGGACUCUUAGGUUCAGUCACCAGUGUGCAGGUGAUGGGGAUCUGCUGAUUAGUCAUGGAGAACGGUGUCUUUUUAUAAAUUGGAGAGAUAAAAGUUGCUCACAUUUGUCUCAUUUUCAUUUGUCAAAAAAAAUCUAUUCAAGGUUUAUUGUUAGGUUUAUUAGGGAUAUACAGGGAAAAUGAUUACUGGGUUUAUAACUGGAUGUGUGAUUUCUGUGUAAACUGUUCUGUUGAUCAGUUAAUUCAGGACCAACAAACACUGCAAUUUUUAAACACAGACAUGUUACCCAUGUGAGACAGGUUCCCUUUUCAGUCUGGUUCCUCUCCAGGUUUCUUCCUCAGACCAUCUCAGGGAGUUUUUCCUUGCCACCAUUGCCACUGGAUUAUUCCUAAUGGAUAAACUUAUAGGGACAAAUUAAUGAAUUUAAAAUGUAUAUUCUUAAUUAUUAAUGUCUGUAUAGCUGCAUUUCACAGUGAAAUUGUCCACUGUGAAAUGCACUAUACAAAUAAAAUUGAAUUGAAUUGAAAGUUUUUAUCGAUUGAUUGUUAGACAAGCAGAUGUCAAACCAAACCUGUUACUGUGAUGAAUGAGUGAUGUUUUUUGUAUGAGGAUAUCAGAUAUACUGUACAUGCUCAGCCUUUUCACUUUCAUAAUGCUGUUACUAAAACCCAUUAGGUAUCUUCAGGAAAAUUCAUAAACCCUCCUAUCUGUAACAUUACUAGAAUAUGUUUAUUGGAACCUGUCAGUUUCCAAUACUGUUAGUACUGUGAAUAAAAUUUAAGCAAGA
Silurus meridionalis is the source of this 3418-nucleotide RNA transcript. It is a transcript of the gene named isocitrate dehydrogenase [NAD] subunit gamma, mitochondrial-like, with no coding region annotated. NCBI's taxonomy places the organism in Eukaryota, Metazoa, Chordata, Actinopteri, Siluriformes, Siluridae. The record is from RefSeq and is a predicted model, not a curated record. The transcript is spliced from 15 exons.